This 253-nucleotide ribosomal RNA is filed under the name uncultured bacterium. RNAcentral describes it as "partial 16S ribosomal RNA". It matches the Rfam family "Bacterial small subunit ribosomal RNA", at positions 524 to 776 of the family's 1533-position model. The record is from RNAcentral.
UACGAAGGGGGCUAGCGUUGCUCGGAAUCACUGGGCGUAAAGGGUGCGUAGGCGGGUCUUUAAGUCAGGGGUGAAAUCCUGGAGCUCAACUCCAGAACUGCCUUUGAUACUGAAGAUCUUGAGUUCGGGAGAGGUGAGUGGAACUGCGAGUGUAGAGGUGAAAUUCGUAGAUAUUCGGAAGAACACCAGUGGCGAAGGCGGCUCACCGGCCCGGUACUGACGCUGAGGUGCGAAAGCGUGGGGAGCAAACAGG